CGGAAUGUCAAGACCAAAAUAACUGUGAAUGACACACCUCGCUAUGAUGAACUGUGCUAACCCAACCUGGGCGUGAGGAUUAAGAUGAACUCUAGCAGCCAGAUAGGUGCUGCUCGAUAACUAUGUGAACAGUGAGGUUUUACUGAUCAUUUGUUAAAAAACAAAAACAAAAAAACCUACCAUGUUCAGUUCCCUUCACUACAUGCCCUUGUGGUUUUUUAUUUAAAUGUUAACUGUAGAGUAUCAGGUACGGGAUGUCUUCUAGCUAUUGCUUUUUAUCGAAUACAUCAGGAUGGUAGAAAGCAAUUCUACAGAAAAUUGAGACCUAGUUGGGAUGUUUUAGUAGAAUUCUGAAGAAUGACAAUGUAAAGGUUGACAUAGGACAAUGGGUGAUAGGUUUCAUUAAGUAGCUGAACUAGAUCUCUGCGUGCCUAGAUGUGUUGAUAUUUACCUCAAGGUCUCUUCAGAACAGAUGGCUUCCUCCCCACCCCACAACCCUGCCUCCCUCUCCCCCUUCAUUUUCC
This 524-nucleotide long non-coding RNA is filed under the name Bos taurus (domestic cattle). RNAcentral describes it as "long non-coding RNA NONBTAT020501". The record is from RNAcentral. Lineage: Eukaryota; Metazoa; Chordata; Mammalia; Artiodactyla; Bovidae.